AGUGACAUCUCAAAAAAAUAAUUUUUUUUUACCCCCAACACAGCCCUGUUCCAGCGCUUGGACCAGCUAGUCAUCUCAUACUUUACGAAACUGACAAGUACCCUUCUUUCCAUUGAGAAGCAACAGCUAUAAUUGACUGAGAUGCUACUGGAAUUUGAAGACUUGACUUUUUCUUUAUAUUCUUUCUCUUAAAAAUAAUGACUUGCCCGUCUUUGGGAAGCUGUGUACCAAAGAACCCGUGUAAAAGCCCCUCUUUCCUCCUGCAGAGCUGAUGUUGUACUGCUGCAUACCCCAGCUACUCUGAUUUUGUGAAGCUGUGUAUAAAGACUCUACCUCCUUGUGGCAUAUUGCAGGCAAGACUGCUACUUCUGGCAGUGUGAAGUAAGCUGUGGUUUGUUUUUUUGGGCACAAAAUAAACACAUUGCAGCGGGAGGUUGGCAGGCUGAAUAUAAAGGCUCUUUUUCCAGAGGUUUUUUGAGGCAUGACCUCAGAUACUCAGUUGACAGAGUCCUGGAAGCAUCGUUUUAAUGUCUUCCACUGUGUCACUCUGAUAGACAAGGCUUGGAAAGCAGUAUCUUCUAAGACCAUGAAUUCUGCCCAGAGGAAACUGGCCAGAAGCUGCAACUUCGAGGAUCUGUGAGGGCUUUGAGACUGAACUUAACCCAAGGGUGGAGGACAUUGUAAUCUCUGGGCAAGUUCAUGGCCUGGAGGUCAGUGAUGAAAAUAUUGAUGAGUUACUGGAGGAGCAGAGAGAAAAGCUCAGAGCUGAGGAGUUGCAAGAACUUUGCAGGGUGCCCCGACAAACAGUGGCUGAGAAGCUUGAUGUAAGGAAGGAAGGAAGCCCCUACUACUAAAAUAAACAUGCUCUGGAUAGGUUAAAUGAGGAAGGUUUCUUGAAAAGAAUGAUCUGACAAAGCUCUAGUAAACUGAAAUGUGGACUUGUUUAAUGAUCAAGCAAUGUCUCACUUUAGAAAUAACUUGAAAUAAAGAUGGGAGCAAGUUUCUCUAGAUGGGUUUCUAGUGAAAUGUCCUACAUUAAGUCUCCACUGGAUUCCAGUGAUGUUAGGAGAGAAAUGAAAGAACCCUUGUUCCAGUGUCUAAUAUUUUAUUGGGAGGGGACUACCCAUCCAAGCAGUAACUUCUCUACCUAGCUACCAUACCAUUAGGUCAUCAACUUCUUUCUGAACAGGUAAAAUGAAGUUACAUUUUAUCUAAUU
Erinaceus europaeus (western European hedgehog) is the source of this 1217-nucleotide long non-coding RNA. RefSeq lists it as uncharacterized. The transcript is spliced from 2 exons. NCBI's taxonomy places the organism in Eukaryota, Metazoa, Chordata, Mammalia, Eulipotyphla, Erinaceidae. The record is from RefSeq and is a predicted model, not a curated record.